CUAAUACUCCCUCCGGCCCAAAAUUCUUGUCUUAGAUUUGUCUAGAUACGGAUGUAUCUAACACUAAAACGUAUCUAGAUACAUCCGUAUUUAGACAAAUCUAAGACAAUAAUUUUGGGACGGAGGGAGUACAAU
Non-coding RNA from Triticum aestivum (bread wheat), 135 nucleotides. The record is from Rfam. Lineage: Eukaryota; Viridiplantae; Streptophyta; Magnoliopsida; Poales; Poaceae.